UAAGGAAUCUUCCACAAUGGACGAAAGUCUGAUGGAGCAACACCGCGUGGUUGAUGAAGCCCUUCGGGGUGUAAAGACCUUUUCUGGGAGAAGAAUUCUGACGGUAUCCUAGGAAUAAGCACCGGCUAACUCCGUGCCAGCAGCCGCGGUAAUACGGAGGGUGCAAGCGUUAUCCGGAAUCAUUGGGCGUAAAGCGUCCGCAGGCGGUUUGUUAAGUGGGGUGUUAAAUUUUGCAGCUCAACUGCAAAACUACAUCCAAAACUGGCAAACUAGAGUACUUCAGAGGUACGUGGAAUUCUGUGUGUAGGGGUAAAAUCCGUAGAUAUACAGAGGAAUACCAAAAGCGAAGGCAGCGUACUGGGAAGUCACUGACGCUCAGGGACGAAAGCGUGGGUAGCGAACG
Molecule: ribosomal RNA, 403 nt
Filed under: uncultured bacterium
Lineage: Bacteria
Description: bacterial SSU rRNA
Rfam family: Bacterial small subunit ribosomal RNA
Source: RNAcentral